Salmo salar (Atlantic salmon) is the source of this 1760-nucleotide non-coding RNA. The record is from RefSeq and is a predicted model, not a curated record. NCBI's taxonomy places the organism in Eukaryota, Metazoa, Chordata, Actinopteri, Salmoniformes, Salmonidae.
GCUCGCUCAUUGUCUUAAUCGAAAUUACGGAUUGCCUCUUAUCCGCUCGUCGUCCCCCUAUGCCAUAGUUUGUACAUCUCAAUUUUCAGUAGAAACCAAAACAUUUAUAAGCAAGUCAGCCAUAUCAGCUAUGUUUUUUUUAAAGGCAGUAAAUGAGGCUGAGUUAACUGUUUUGCUGCCAGACAAGGCUCCGCUGACAGCCAUGUGUAGUGGUUGUAAGGUUUUGGGACUCCUGUUAGGACAGCUUUAUGUAGGCCACCACAGUUUGUGGGUACUGUUUGUCACCGUUAUAGUCCAAUUAAUGCAUUGUUUAGUGUUGUGUAAUGGCUUUGCAGGCAUGCAUAUAAAAAAAAGACCUACCACUGACCAAAUGUCUCUUUGUUUUCCAGUCUAACAUUGUCCAUGCACCGGAUGGUCUGAAGGAUGCACUCUUGUUAGACUGGAAAACAAAGAGACAUUUGGUCAGUGGCUCGAUCUGCUGUAGUCUCUACAAUUGGACGCUUGCACUCAGAUCACACUGGCACAGGAUGUCAUCACACUGGCACAGGAUAUCCAUGCACCGGAUGGUCUGAGGGCUGCACUGUCUGGAUCUUCCUCUUCUGCCAUGGUGGAUGAGCUGCCUUUUCUGGUAAAAAUAGGGCCAUUUCUCUUUCCCAAUGGAAAAUGGCAGCUGCAGACCCGACUGUUGUCAUUGGGCUUCCGGUUCGCCCAUCUGAAAGACCCCCCAACAUUUUUUUACCGGCUAGCUAGGUUGAUUACUAAAAUGAUAACAUCUGUAUUUAAAUACUAUAAUCAACAGACUUGACUAUAGUCAUUUUAAAAUAGACUGGGCUUUGGUCUUAUAUCAGUAUCUGCAGAUCUAAAAUACUACUAUGUGGAUGGGACAUUUCUGCUGGGAUGGAGGAAUUAUCUGAAAUGCUCAACUAGAUGAUCAGGACAGUCUAGAGUACCUUUUGCCGGAAGAGGUGAAGUAUUGCAAUGAGCUAUACGGCUGUACUUAUGAUUCUAAUUCUCAAGAGGAAAGUUAAACCCUCAGCCGUAAGGUCACUGAGGAGGACCAACAGUGGUAAGGGGAUAUUCUGAAAGGGACUGACAUGCAGAGAUAGAACAUAAGGAUUUUGGGCAAUGCCCAGCAGACCACAAUUUCUAUUAGCCUGGGUAACAUUCUGAUCCUACAUCUGUGGAAUGUGAUGUUUGUAAAGGCAAAAUUUCCCUGCUGUGUCAGGCUAGUUUGGCACAUUUUCUACUAGCCCAGUCUGAAAAGUAUUAGCCUCGGGCUAGCUUAAUUUACAUCCCUGCUGAUAUUUCUAACUGACUUCACAGGUCAUUUGAUUAGAAAUGUACAACAGAUGCACUCGUGGAAGAAAACAGUUUUCUGUGUUUUGUAUGGAGAAAACAUUGAGCCCACAAAUCCUUUGUGAGCUAGCUAGCCAACUUUAGCUAAUGUAGCUAACUAGCCAAUCAAAGUGCCUUACAAGCUAGCCCACCAGGUGAUAUUUAGCUAGCUAGUUAACAUUAGCUCACUGUUUGUGUAGUCAGAUUUUUCAAAGUGGUGACAUGCUAGCUAACCAACUAUCCUUGCCAUUGAGCAGGUGUUGUGCCGUAAAGCUCCCACCUCCCAGAAUUCUCCCCCCUUCGCGUGAAUGCGCACGCACUCAAUUAUUCAUUGCUGCGACUUGCUUGCUAGUUGAGAUUUCUGACCACGUUAGCCUGCGUUUCAUUUUAUUUUUUAUGUCGGUUUGAUCGUGGGGAGUUUACAA